UACGUAGGGGGCGAGCGUUGUCCGGAUUCAUUGGGCGUAAAGAGCUCGUAGGCGGCUUGGCAAGUCGGGUGUGAAAACUUCAGGCUCAACCUGGAGCGGCCACUCGAUACUGCCAUGGCUUGAGUCCGGUAGGGGACCACGGAAUUCCUGGUGUAGCGGUGAAAUGCGCAGAUAUCAGGAGGAACACCGGUGGCGAAGGCGGGUCUCUGGGCCGAUACUGACGCUGAGGAGCGAAAGCGUGGGGAGCAAACAGG
This 254-nucleotide ribosomal RNA is filed under the name uncultured bacterium. RNAcentral describes it as "partial 16S ribosomal RNA". It matches the Rfam family "Bacterial small subunit ribosomal RNA", at positions 524 to 776 of the family's 1533-position model. The record is from RNAcentral.